UACGUAGGGGGCUAGCGUUAUCCGGAAUCACUGGGCUUAAAGGGCGCGUAGGCGGGCUGUCAAGUCUGGGGUGAAAUGCCACGGCUCAACCGUGGAACUGCCUCAGAUACUGACGGCCUCGAGGAAGGUAGGGGCUGUGGAACUGUAGGUGGAGCGGUGAAAUGCGUUGAUAUCUACAGGAACUCCGGUGGCGAAAGCGACGUGCUGGACCUUUUCUGACGCUGGAGGCGCGAAAGCUAGGGGAGCAAACGGG
This 253-nucleotide ribosomal RNA is filed under the name uncultured bacterium. Its description in RNAcentral is "partial 16S ribosomal RNA". It matches the Rfam family "Bacterial small subunit ribosomal RNA", at positions 524 to 776 of the family's 1533-position model. The record is from RNAcentral.